RNAcentral lists this ribosomal RNA (253 nucleotides) under uncultured bacterium. Its description in RNAcentral is "partial 16S ribosomal RNA". It matches the Rfam family "Bacterial small subunit ribosomal RNA", at positions 524 to 776 of the family's 1533-position model. The record is from RNAcentral.
UACGUAGGUGGCGAGCGUUGUCCGGAAUUAUUGGGCGUAAAGCGCGCGCAGGCGGUCCUUUAAGUCUGAUGUGAAAGCCCACGGCUCAACCGUGGAGGGUCAUUGGAAACUGGGGGACUUGAGUGCAGAAGAGGAGAGUGGAAUUCCACGUGUAGCGGUGAAAUGCGUAGAGAUGUGGAGGAACACCAGUGGCGAAGGCGACUCUCUGGUCUGUAACUGACGCUGAGGCGCGAAAGCGUGGGGAGCGAACAGG